GCGGGAGUCCCGCGCUGAAAGGCAGGGAGAACCUUUCUCGAAACCCGCCUAUUGAAGCUGUAAGCCCUGGGCGCGGGUGGAGGCGAUGGUGGACGAAGAUGUCUGCGUGGUGGAGCAGCGGAAGGCGCGGGUUGGGGAGUGCGGGAAGAGUCUUCCCAGGACCCAGCUCCUAGUUGCAGAGAGGAGCAGGCCGACGUCAGAUGUGGGCUCCCCUGAGGAAGGCGCUUUGGCUCCUAGAACUGUUGGGUAAAUCCGUAGCAGGCAGCCUGGGGAGAGUGAAUCCUGGGGAAGAUGCGAAGAUACUUGGAUCUGCUGAGUCGGUGGAUGAAUGGGAGUACAGUUGGAGAAACAAGGCCAUGAGUGCCCUGUGUGUUCCAAGGGACAGACCUGUAGUGGACUUCCGGUGUGGGAAAGAUCUGGAGUUUGGCCUAAGAAGGGGAGGAAAGCAGAGAUACUUAGAGGAGAGUCGCUCAAGAGAAAGAAAAGGUGGAGUGACAGGUUGGGGGAGGGCAGUGGCAGUUGCCAUAGGGAGUGGAAAUUCAAGAAACAUCUUCUAAAAGGUUAUGAGGGAGCUUCAUUGUGUAAUGCAAAACCUUUCAUGUUACUUUCUUGGAAAAUAAAUUCAGCAAAAGUAACAUCCUUCGUAAUGAUUUGG
Molecule: long non-coding RNA, 655 nt
Filed under: Ictidomys tridecemlineatus (thirteen-lined ground squirrel)
Lineage: Eukaryota; Metazoa; Chordata; Mammalia; Rodentia; Sciuridae
Description: lncRNA (ENSSTOG00000030117.1)
Source: RNAcentral